Molecule: ribosomal RNA, 301 nt
Filed under: uncultured bacterium
Lineage: Bacteria
Description: partial 16S ribosomal RNA
Rfam family: Bacterial small subunit ribosomal RNA
Source: RNAcentral
CAGUCGCCACGGUAAUACGUAGGUGGCAAGCGUUGUCCGGAAUUAUUGGGCGUAAAGGGCUCGCAGGCGGUUUCUUAAGUCUGAUGUGAAAGCCCCCGGCUCAACCGGGGAGGGUCAUUGGAAACUGGGAAACUUGAGUGCAGAAGAGGAGAGUGGAAUUCCACGUGUAGCGGUGAAAUGCGUAGAGAUGUGGGGGAACACAAGUGGCGAAGGCGACUCUCUGGUCUGUAACUGACGCUGAGGAGCGAAAGCGUGGGGAGCGAACAGGAUUAGAUACCCGUGUAGUCCCUGUCUCUUAUAC